GAGAUAGCGCAUAUUCUAAAAUUGGAACAAUACAGAGAAGAUUAGCCUGGCCCUGUGCGAGGCUGACAAGCCAAUUCAUGAAGCAUUCCAUAUUUAA
This is a small nuclear RNA of Rattus norvegicus (Norway rat), 97 nucleotides long. The record is from Ensembl. NCBI's taxonomy places the organism in Eukaryota, Metazoa, Chordata, Mammalia, Rodentia, Muridae.